UGGUGGAGUGAUUUGUCUGGUUAAUUCCGAUAACGAACGAGACUCUGUCCUGCUAACUAGGUUGUGUUUUCUCGGGUUGGUGUUUCUGGUGUUCCUUCUCGGGGCACCGGCCCAAUCCACUUGUGAACACAACACUCUUCUUAGAGGGACUGGCGGCUGUUAGCCGCACGAGAUAGAGCAAUAACA
Molecule: ribosomal RNA, 186 nt
Filed under: uncultured eukaryote
Lineage: Eukaryota
Description: partial 18S ribosomal RNA
Rfam family: Eukaryotic small subunit ribosomal RNA
Source: RNAcentral